CUCCUCUCUCUCUCUCCCUGUCUGUCAACAUACGCUCUCACACUCACACACGAAGUCUCGCAUUUUUGGAUUUGCGUUUCAUGCUGGGUGGGGGGUCAGCUGCUGCAGCGGAGCAGCAGUGAGUGGCUUGUUCCAGCGUCUAGCCCUCUGACCAGCUGCCGUAUGUACAUGCAUGGACAGGACACGAUCAGAACUACUGUCGCAGACCAGACUUACAUCUAAAGCGCAUGGACAGACUCUGAACACUGACUUCGUGCCGGUAUGUGUGUGUGUACCCAUUCUAAGUGUAUAUCGUGGCAUGCCUGUCUAAUUCCAAGCAGGUAUGUGUGUGUGUACCCAUUCUAAGUGUAUAUCGUGGCAUGCCUGUCUAAUUCCAAGCAGGUAUGUGUGUGUGUACCCAUUCUAAGUGUAUAUCGUGGCAUGCCUGUC
Oncorhynchus tshawytscha (Chinook salmon) is the source of this 429-nucleotide long non-coding RNA. The record is from Ensembl. Lineage: Eukaryota; Metazoa; Chordata; Actinopteri; Salmoniformes; Salmonidae.